CAGCCGCCGCGGUAAUACGUAGGUCCCGAGCGUUGUCCGGAUUUAUUGGGCGUAAAGCGAGCGCAGGCGGUUAGAUAAGUCUGAAGUUAAAGGCUGUGGCUUAACCAUAGUACGCUUUGGAAACUGUUUAACUUGAGUGCAAGAGGGGAGAGUGGAAUUCCAUGUGUAGCGGUGAAAUGCGUAGAUAUAUGGAGGAACACCGGUGGCGAAAGCGGCUCUCUGGCUUGUAACUGACGCUGAGGCUCGAAAGCGUGGGGAGCAAACAGGAUUAGAUACCCGAGUAGUCCCUGUCUCUUAUACC
Molecule: ribosomal RNA, 301 nt
Filed under: uncultured bacterium
Lineage: Bacteria
Description: partial 16S ribosomal RNA
Rfam family: Bacterial small subunit ribosomal RNA
Source: RNAcentral